CCCUGGUUAGCUCAGUUGGUAGAGCGCCCCACCUGUAAUGGAGAGGUCCCGGGUUCGAUACCCGGACCAGGCG
Molecule: non-coding RNA, 73 nt
Organism: Ixodes scapularis (black-legged tick)
Lineage: Eukaryota; Metazoa; Arthropoda; Arachnida; Ixodida; Ixodidae
Source: Rfam